Molecule: ribosomal RNA, 440 nt
Filed under: uncultured bacterium
Lineage: Bacteria
Description: partial 16S ribosomal RNA
Rfam family: Bacterial small subunit ribosomal RNA
Source: RNAcentral
CCUACGGGAGGCAGCAGUGGGGCAUAUUGCACAAUGGGGGAAACCCUGAUGCAGCGACGCCGCGUGCGUGAAGAAGUAAUUCGUUAUGUAAAGCUCUAUCAGCAGGGAAGAAACUGACGGUACCUGAGUAAGAAGCCCCGGCUAACUACGUGCCAGCAGCCGCGGUAAUACGUAGGGGGCAAGCGUUAUCCGGAUUUACUGGGUGGAAAGGGAGCGUAGACGGCAGUGCAAGUCUGGAGUGAAAGGCGGGGGCUCAACCCCCGGACUGCUCUGGAAACUGUACGGCUGGAGUGCAGGAGAGGUAAGUGGAAUUCCUAGUGUAGCGGUGAAAUGCGUAGAUAUUAGGAGGAACACCAGUGGCGAAGGCGGCUUACUGGACUGUAACUGACGUUGAGGCUCGAAAGCGUGGGGAGCAAACAGGAGUAGAUACCCUAGUAGUC